UCAUAAUCCUUCUCCAGGGCAGCAAGAUCCUCACGGGCCUCGGAGAACUCUCCUUCCUCCAUACCUUCACCAACAUACCAGUGGACAAAAGCACGCUUGGCAUACAUGAGGUCAAACUUGUGGUCAAUUCGUGAAAACACCUCAGCAACGCUGGUUGAGUUGGAGAUCAUGCAGACAGCCCUCUGCACCUUGGCAAGGUCACCACCUGGAACAACAGUGGGUGGCUGGUAGUUAAUACCGCACUUGAAUCCUGUUGGGCACCAGUCAACAAACUGAAUGGUGCGCUUGGUCUUGAUCGUGGCAACUGCUGCAUUCACAUCCUUAGGCACAACAUCACCACGAUACAUCAGGCAGCAGGCCAUGUACUUGCCAUGACGAGGAUCACACUUGGCCAUCAUAGAUGAGGGCUCAAAAGCACUGUUGGUGAUUUCUGCAACUGAAAGUUGCUCAUGGUAAGCUUUCUCAGCAGAGAUAACUGGCGCAUAGGAAGAAAGCAUGAAGUGGAUUCUUGGAUAGGGGACCAAGUUGGUCUGGAAUUCUGUCACAUCAACAUUCAGAGCACCAUCAAACCUCAGAGAGGCAGUGGCUUGUCUCUCAGGUGAUUUCGUCCUUGACUGCCUGUUAAGAUUGGUGUAGGUGGGUCGCUCAAUGUCAAGAGAGCGCCUGCAGAUAUCAUAGAUGGCUUCAUUGUCAAGAAGCACAGCAACAUCAGU
Molecule: unclassified non-coding RNA, 713 nt
Filed under: Hevea brasiliensis (rubber tree)
Lineage: Eukaryota; Viridiplantae; Streptophyta; Magnoliopsida; Malpighiales; Euphorbiaceae
Source: RNAcentral